GGGGAUUGUUGUGUUUGGCAAUAUCAUCCAUUUGUCGACUUGUUGGCUUGGGUGCACAUCAGAAUCGCAUCUCUGAAGCGUCGGCUCAGAUCUCUUUAACCGCCUUCUUCCAGGCUGUAUUUGCAGCUGUUGUCUGCAGCUAUCCAUUGUUAGGGACUGGGACUUUAAGAAUAUAAGGAUAUUGAGAACAUCCUGAAUGGAGCAUUAUCUCAUGUCCAUCUUUUACAAUUUUGACAGGCUAUUCUUGUAAGGACUCAUUCCAUUAGCAUCUUUUCUCAGUGUACGGAGGCCUCGCAGUUCAGUCGCUGUCGACUUGUAGCAGUGUAGGCUGCAGUUGGAGUUAAGAUGCAGGCGGAAACGAUCCCUGAGGAAGUUCAAUACAUCAGGGGAAGACUGAAGCAAGCGGUGCCAGAAAGAACUGGAGUUUCUGGAGAAUAAAACCUGGGAGUGUGCCCCUGGAAAUCCCCCUGGGUGGUCACCGGUCUGACUUCCACAGACUGAUUGCCUUGGCCAGGAGCAUCCCGGCAGUCCUGCCAUAAGUGCGUAUGCCUGGAGUUUUAAUUUCCGUUUAAUGCUGGCAAAGCCCCUCUGGGUGAGCCCCAGUGCCUGGCAUGAGCAGAGCGGGCUUCCAGGGCACUCAUUGCAGGCGUUGUGUUUAAGGGAAGAGCAGGGGAGCCUUUCUCUGGCCCAGAGGAGCUGCAGUGUU
Pipra filicauda (Wire-tailed manakin) is the source of this 706-nucleotide long non-coding RNA. RefSeq lists it as uncharacterized. The record is from RefSeq and is a predicted model, not a curated record. NCBI's taxonomy places the organism in Eukaryota, Metazoa, Chordata, Aves, Passeriformes, Pipridae. The transcript has 3 exons.